UUUGUCAGCUAUAUCACCCUGCAGCCCAAGACUGGUUGCCCACUGAAGCUAAGCAGGGUUGAGCCUGGUCAGUACCUGGAUGGGAGACCUCCUGGGAAAACUAGGUUGCUGCUGGAA
This 117-nucleotide ribosomal RNA is filed under the name Sinocyclocheilus grahami. The record is from RNAcentral. Lineage: Eukaryota; Metazoa; Chordata; Actinopteri; Cypriniformes; Cyprinidae.